RNAcentral lists this ribosomal RNA (504 nucleotides) under uncultured bacterium. RNAcentral's name for it is "partial 16S ribosomal RNA". It matches the Rfam family "Bacterial small subunit ribosomal RNA", at positions 28 to 506 of the family's 1533-position model. The record is from RNAcentral.
GACGAACGCUGGCGGCGUGCCUAAUACAUGCAAGUAGAACGCACGGUUUAUACCGUAGCUUGCUACACCAUAGACUGUGAGUUGCGAACGGGUGAGUAACGCGUAGGUAACCUGCCUGGUAGCGGGGGAUAACUAUUGGAAACGAUAGCUAAUACCGCAUAAUAUUAAUUAUUGCAUGAUAAUUAAUUGAAAGGUGCAAUUGCACCACUACCAGAUGGACCUGCGUUGUAUUAGCUAGUAGGUGAGGUAACGGCUCACCUAGGCGACGAUACAUAGCCGACCUGAGAGGGUGAUCGGCCACACUGGGACUGAGACACGGCCCAGACUCCUACGGGAGGCAGCAGUAGGGAAUCUUCGGCAAUGGACGAAAGUCUGACCGAGCAACGCCGCGUGAGUGAAGAAGGUUUUCGGAUCGUAAAGCUCUGUUGUAAGAGAAGAACGGGUGUGAGAGUGGAAAGUUCACACUGUGACGGUAUCGUACCAGAAAGGGACGGCUAACUACGU